AAUGGCCUAACGGCUGAACCAGCAACUUGGAAGAAUGAAGGUGUAUUAAUAAAUAUUAAUGCAAUAAUGAUUAAUUCAUAUAAAAUUCUAAAUAGAUUAAUGAUAAUGACUAUUAUCUAUUUAUAAGUCUUGGCCAAAUUGCGUGCCAGCAGUCGCGGUAAUACGUAGAAGACUAGUGUUAUUCAUCUUUAUUAGGUUUAAAGGGUACCUAGACGGUAAAUUAAACCUUAACGGGUACUUUUUUACUAGAGUUUUAUAAGAGAAAGGGAGAAUCCUUGUAGUAAUGUUAUAAUAUGCAAAAAACAAGGAGACUGGUAAAGGCGAAGGCUGCUUUCUAUGUAAAAACUGACGUUGAGGGACGAAGGCUUGGUUAGCGAGAAGGAUUAGAUACCCUAGUAGUCCAAGCAGAAAAUUAUGAAUGUCAUAAGCUAGAUAAGUACUAAGAAAGGGUGCGAAUACAUCUCGACGAGUACGAUUUUUAGGUUAUAAAUGAAAGUGUAAGCAUUCCACCUCAAGAGUACAAUGGCAACAUUUAAACUGAAAUCAUUAGACCGUUUCUGAAACCAGUAGUGAAGUAUGUUAGUUAAUUCGAUAGUCCGCGAAAAACCUUACCACAAUUUGGAUAUUAUUAAAUUAAUACACGAGCUGCAUGGCUGUCUUUAGUUAAUGUCGUGAGAUCUGGUUAAGUCCUUUAAUUAACGAAAACCCUCACCUUAUUUAUUUACAUAAGGUGGUUCACCGCUAUAUUGGAUUUGAUAAGAGGGAUCAAGACAAGUCAUCAUGGCCAUAAUAUUGU
RNAcentral lists this ribosomal RNA (796 nucleotides) under Gymnoascus reessii. RNAcentral's name for it is "SSU rRNA". It matches the Rfam family "Bacterial small subunit ribosomal RNA", at positions 370 to 1210 of the family's 1533-position model. Lineage: Eukaryota; Fungi; Ascomycota; Eurotiomycetes; Onygenales; Gymnoascaceae. The record is from RNAcentral.